Molecule: ribosomal RNA, 439 nt
Filed under: uncultured Pseudomonadota bacterium
Lineage: Bacteria; Pseudomonadati; Pseudomonadota
Description: bacterial SSU rRNA
Rfam family: Bacterial small subunit ribosomal RNA
Source: RNAcentral
GACGAACGCUGGCGGCGUGCUUAACACAUGCAAGUCUAGGAGAAGUUUUGCUUCGGUGAAAUGGAUACUGGCGAACGGGUGAGUAACGCGUAUGCAAUCUGCCCUUAAUCCGGGGAUAACACUUCCAACGAGGUGCUAAUACCCGAUGACGCAGCGGCACCGCAUGGUGACAGUUGUUAAAGUUUCGAUGAUUAAGGAUGAGCAUGCGUCCCAUUAGGUAGUUGGUGAGGUAACGGCCCACCAAGCCUGCGAUGGGUAGCUGGUCUGAGAGGAUGAUCAGCCACACUGGGACUGAGACACGGCCCAGACUCCUACGGGAGGCAGCAGUGAGGAAUAUUGCGCAAUGGACGAAAGUCUGACGCAGCAACGCCGCGUGCGGGAUGAAGGCUCUUUGAGUCGUAAACCGCUGUAGCAGGGGAAAAAUAUCCCGUUCGACGGG